Molecule: non-coding RNA, 121 nt
Organism: Strongyloides papillosus
Lineage: Eukaryota; Metazoa; Nematoda; Chromadorea; Rhabditida; Strongyloididae
Source: Rfam
GGCGGAAUGGCCGAGUGGUCUAAGGCGUCAGACUCAAGUACAUAACUUAUGUAGGUUCUACAUCGCCACUGAGUAUUCUGAUCUCGUUAUCGAGGCGUGGGUUCAAAUCCCACUUCCGUCA